UGCGUUCCUCGUUAGGCGAGGCUACUAUACGAACACAAGCCACUGCCCGGAAACGUGGAGACACGCCAAUGGGUAGAACAGGUAUGGCCGGCUUAAGGCUUUACCUAACGUGGCUGGGUUUUCCCUACGUCGUAUAGUGCCAAAGCUCAACCAGGGGGAUGUGC
RNAcentral lists this small RNA (164 nucleotides) under Alicyclobacillus acidocaldarius. RNAcentral's name for it is "Magnesium sequence". It matches the Rfam family "M-box riboswitch aptamer (ykoK leader)". From Rfam's summary of the family: M-box riboswitch, also know as ykoK leader is described as a metaloregulatory RNA that sense divalent metals and function as a genetic control element of genes related to divalent metal transport in bacteria. It was first reported upstream of the B.subtilis ykoK gene and genes with related functions in other bacteria. RNAcentral also lists the same sequence under 1 other name. Lineage: Bacteria; Bacillati; Bacillota; Bacilli; Caryophanales; Alicyclobacillaceae. The record is from RNAcentral.